This 134-nucleotide small RNA is filed under the name Salmonella enterica. Its description in RNAcentral is "RtT sRNA". It matches the Rfam family "RtT RNA". Rfam says of the family: This family represents a bacterial cis-regulatory element known as RtT RNA. The exact function of RtT is unknown although it is thought that it may be involved in changing the cellular response in relation to amino acid starvation. RNAcentral also lists the same sequence under 12 other names. Lineage: Bacteria; Pseudomonadati; Pseudomonadota; Gammaproteobacteria; Enterobacterales; Enterobacteriaceae. The record is from RNAcentral.
UGCAUCUGAAGCCUGACGAGGAUGAGAACCUCCGGGGGCAAGAGGUUCGACCCGAGCGAAGCGAGAAAACGUUGCGUCAGCAACGGCCCGCAGGGCGAGCCACGCAGUGGCGAGUCAUCCUCUAUCACCGACCA